GCGUGUGUGCGAGUAGAGGGUCUACACAUCUAGGCCUCUGUGAAUGAUUUUUUUCAAAUUUUUAGAGAUUUGAUCUUUGAUUCUACUACUAAUCAAGUAAAUAUUUGAUCCUUAUUCAUGUAGAUUAAUAAAAAAAUUUUAGAUGCAAUCUGAGCUAUCCGAAGAGAAACUAUUUUCCUUUCCUUCAUUGAUUUCACCAAAAAUGAGGAAGAGCCGUGUGUGUACAAAAAGGUCAGUGGGAGUACUGUCACAUUCUUCGUAUUGUAUGUGGAUGACAUUCUCCUAAUUAGAAAUGA
RNAcentral lists this long non-coding RNA (296 nucleotides) under Elaeis guineensis (African oil palm). RNAcentral describes it as "long non-coding RNA (EGUI_LNC069880)". The record is from RNAcentral. Lineage: Eukaryota; Viridiplantae; Streptophyta; Magnoliopsida; Arecales; Arecaceae.